GAGGAAUAUUGGUCAAUGGGCGUAAGCCUGAACCAGCCAUCCCGCGUGAAGGAAGAAAGCGCUAUGCGUUGUAAACUUCUUUUCCAGAGGAAUAAAAUUUUGUACGAGUACGGAACUGAAGGUACUCUGGGAAUAAGCAUCGGCUAACUCCGUGCCAGCAGCCGCGGUAAUACGGAGGAUGCGAGCGUUAUCCGGAUUUAUUGGGUUUAAAGGGUGCGUAGGCGGAUUAAUAAGUCAGUGGUGAAAACCUUCAGCUUAACUGGAGACUUGCCAUUGAUACUGUUAGUCUUGAGUACGGUCAAGGUAGGCGGAAUGUGUAAUGUAGCGGUGAAAUGCUUAGAUAUUACACAGAACACCGAUUGCGAAGGCAGCUUACUGGGCCAUUACUGACGCUGAUGCACGAAAGCGUGGGGAGCGAAC
Molecule: ribosomal RNA, 420 nt
Filed under: uncultured bacterium
Lineage: Bacteria
Description: bacterial SSU rRNA
Rfam family: Bacterial small subunit ribosomal RNA
Source: RNAcentral